AGCAGCCGCGGUAAUUCCAGCUCCAAUAGCGUAUAUUAAAGUUGUUGCAGUUAAAAAAGCUCGUAGUUGAAUUUCGGGGUUAGUAGGUUGGUCAUGCCCCUGGUAUGUACUGGUCUCACUGAUUCCUCCUUCCUUAUGAACCGUAAUGCCAUUAAUUUGGUGUUGCGGGAAAUUUGGACUGUUACUUUGAAAAAAUUAGAGUGUUUAAAGCAAGCUAACACUUGAAUACAUUAGCAUGGAAUAAUGAAAUAGGACGUUCGAUCUUAUUUUGUUGGUUUCUAGGAUUGACGUAAUGAUUAAUAGGGAUAGUUGGGGGGCAUUAGUAUUCAAUUGUCAGAGGUGAAAAUUCUUGGAUUUAUUGAAGACUAACUACUGCGAAAGCAUUUGCCAAGGAUGUUUUCAUUAAUCAAGAACGAAAGUUAGGGGAUCGAAGACGAUCAGAUACCGUCGUAGUCUUAACCAUAAACUAUGCCGACUAGGGAUCGGAUGAUGUUAAUUUUUUUAAUGACUCAUUCGGCGC
Molecule: ribosomal RNA, 520 nt
Filed under: uncultured Glomus
Lineage: Eukaryota; Fungi; Glomeromycota; Glomeromycetes; Glomerales; Glomeraceae
Description: SSU rRNA
Rfam family: Eukaryotic small subunit ribosomal RNA
Source: RNAcentral